UGGGAACGUACCCUUUGGUUCGGAACAACCCAGGGAAACUUGGGCUAAUACCGGAUAAGUCCGUAAGGAGAAAGAUUUAUCGCCAAAGAUCGGCCCGCGUCUGAUUAGCUAGUUGGUAGGGUAACGGCCUACCAAGGCUACGAUCAGUAGCUGGUCUGAGAGGAUGAUCAGCCACAUUGGGACUGAGACACGGCCCAGACUCCUACGGGAGGCAG
Molecule: ribosomal RNA, 215 nt
Filed under: uncultured bacterium
Lineage: Bacteria
Description: partial 16S ribosomal RNA
Rfam family: Bacterial small subunit ribosomal RNA
Source: RNAcentral